AACGAACGCUGGCGGCAUGCCUAACACAUGCCAGUCGAACGAAACCUUCGGGUCUAGGGGCGCACGGGUGCGUAAGGGGUGGGAACCUGCCCUUAGGUUCGGAAUAACUCCCCGAAAGGGGUGCUAAUACCGGAUAAUGUCUUCGGACCAAGGAUUUAUCGCCUUUGGAUGGGCCCGCGUUGGAUUAGCUAGUUGGUAGGGUAAAAGCCUACCAAGGCGACGAUCCAUAGCUGGUCUGAGAGGAUGAUCAGCCACACUGGGACUGAGACACGGCCCAGACUCCUACGGGAGGCAGCAGUGGGGAAUAUUGGACAGUGGGGGAAAGCCUGAUCCAGCAAUGCCGCGUGAGUGAUGAAGGCCUUAGGGUUGUAAAGCUCUUUUACCCGGGAUGAUAAUGACAGUACCGGGAGAAUAAGCUCCGGCUAACUCCGUG
Molecule: ribosomal RNA, 433 nt
Filed under: uncultured bacterium
Lineage: Bacteria
Description: partial 16S ribosomal RNA
Rfam family: Bacterial small subunit ribosomal RNA
Source: RNAcentral